Molecule: ribosomal RNA, 428 nt
Filed under: uncultured Bacteroidota bacterium
Lineage: Bacteria; Pseudomonadati; Bacteroidota
Description: bacterial SSU rRNA
Rfam family: Bacterial small subunit ribosomal RNA
Source: RNAcentral
CCGGAUUUAUUGGGUUUAAAGGGUGCGUAGGUGGCUUUUUAAGUCAGCGGUGAAAUUUUGCAGCUUAACUGUAACAGUGCCGUUGAUACUGGGGAGCUAGGAUUUGGUUGCUGUGGGUGGAAUGUGUGGUGUAGCGGUGAAAUGCUUAGAGACCACACAGAAUAUCGAUUGCGAAGGCAGCUCACAAAGCCAAGAUUGACGCUGAGGCACGAAAGUGUGGGGAUCAAACAGGAUUAGAUACCCUGGUAGUCCACACUGUAAACGAUGAUAACUCGCUGUCGGCGAUACACAGUCGGUGGCCAAGCGAAAGCGAUAAGUUAUCCACCUGGGGAGUACGACCGCAAGGUUGAAACUCAAAGGAAUUGACGGGGGCCCGCACAAGCGGAGGAACAUGUGGUUUAAUUCGAUGAUACGCGAGGAACCUUACC